UGGUUCUGGCAUCGAUGAAGAACGCAGCGAAAUGCGAUAAGUAAUGUGAAUUGCAGAAUUCAGUGAAUCAUCGAAUCUUUGAACGCACAUUGCGCCCGCCAGUAUUCUGGCGGGCAUGCCUGUUCGAGCGUCAUUUCAACCCCUCGGGCUCUUCUUAUAGAGACCGGCGUCGGGGCUCCCCGCUAGCGCGGGGGCUCCCAGAGACAGUGGCGGACCCGCCGCGGCUCCGAGCGCAGUAACUAUACCUAGCUCCGGUGCCCGCGGUGGUGCUUCGGCCGUAAACACUCUUCUAAGGUUGACCUCGGAUCAGGUAGGAAUACCCGCUGA
This 327-nucleotide unclassified non-coding RNA is filed under the name uncultured fungus. RNAcentral describes it as "partial contains 5.8S ribosomal RNA and internal transcribed spacer 2". The stretch from base 1 to 133 matches the Rfam family "5.8S ribosomal RNA", at positions 22 to 154 of the family's 154-position model. Lineage: Eukaryota; Fungi. The record is from RNAcentral.